This is a non-coding RNA of Pelobates cultripes (western spadefoot toad), 229 nucleotides long. Lineage: Eukaryota; Metazoa; Chordata; Amphibia; Anura; Pelobatidae. The record is from the annotation of a GenBank genome assembly.
GGUUGCCUGACCUUAGUGUAAAGUGCCCAGUGCGAAAAUAUAAGUGAAAAAGUGACAGGAGAACCCGACGCGCGUUUCGGAGCUUAGGACAUGCACCUUCGUCAGGGGCUAGAGUUGAAAAGUUCCCGAGAGUCUUGUUUUUAUAUCCUAUGGUUAAACCGGUAUAAUAAUUGCUGAGCCAAUCAAAAGUCUAAUCCUGUCCGUUAUUUUAGCGCCAAAAUGAGUGGGC